UCUAUUUCAUUGUUCCACACA
Molecule: microRNA, 21 nt
Filed under: Medicago truncatula (barrel medic)
Lineage: Eukaryota; Viridiplantae; Streptophyta; Magnoliopsida; Fabales; Fabaceae
Description: mtr-miR2596
Source: miRBase by way of RNAcentral